AGGUUUCCGUAGGUGAACCUGCGGAAGGAUCAUUGUCGAGUCCCUCGGAAUAGAUGAGCAACGCGAACAUGUGAUGGAAACAAAACGGGAUGCACGGGCUCGCGCGGACGGGACAUCCCGGACGAUGCAGCCGGUUGCCCCCCACGCUCGAUGGGGCCGUCGCGUGGCUUGAGCCCGCAUGGUUCCGUCGUUGCGAACGUAACACCAAGGCGCGGCAAGCGCCAAGGAACAAAGUAGCGUGGCAGCGCUCUCUUGCGGCGCGCCCCGUAAGCGGGGGUACGCACCGCGAGUGUUGGUGACUGCGCGUGUCGUGCGCGAUGAGCGCCUCAAUGAAAAACGACUCUCGGCAACGGAUAUCUCGGCUCUCGCAUCGAUGAAGAACGUAGCGAAAUGCGAUACUUGGUGUGAAUUGCAGAAUCCCGCGAACCAUCGAGUUUUUGAACGCAAGUUGCGCCCGAAGCGAUCUCGCCGAGGGCACGUCCGCCUGGGCGUCACGCAUCGCGUCGCCCCCUCGCCCUACCCUACUUCGGGUGAGAGGCAGGGGGCGGAGAAUGGCCUCCCGUGCGAUCGAUAGCGCGGCCGGCCCAAACGAUAUGGCUUCAGCGCCGAGCGCUACUAGCAAUGGUGGUCGAUUGCACGGCAUCGCUUGCUGUUGUGUUCGGAGUUGCGGUGAUAUACGAGGACCCUUAGGGUGGCCGUUGGCCUAACCCCACGACCGCGACCCCCAGGUCGGGCGGGGAUUACCCGCUGAGUUUAAGCAUAUCA
This 765-nucleotide ribosomal RNA is filed under the name Utricularia volubilis. RNAcentral describes it as "eukaryotic LSU rRNA". The stretch from base 339 to 494 matches the Rfam family "5.8S ribosomal RNA". Lineage: Eukaryota; Viridiplantae; Streptophyta; Magnoliopsida; Lamiales; Lentibulariaceae. The record is from RNAcentral.